This is a long non-coding RNA of Etheostoma cragini (Arkansas darter), 248 nucleotides long. RefSeq lists it as uncharacterized. The record is from RefSeq and is a predicted model, not a curated record. NCBI's taxonomy places the organism in Eukaryota, Metazoa, Chordata, Actinopteri, Perciformes, Percidae. The transcript is spliced from 2 exons.
ACGUGAUGCAAACGUUACAAGAUGAAGCUGCAUAUUAUUCAAAGCUCAAGUGGAUUUUUUUAGCAGAAGGGCUUGGCUUUCCCCUCUUUCAUUUGCGGUGUUCCGUAUGUUAGAAUAUAAACAAAGUCACAUGACUGGGGGGCAGAGGGCAUUGCUGAGGGCAAGAUUGGAUGACACAGCGAUUUAAUUUGAUUUAAUUUUAGUAGUGAUUGCCGUGUAAUCGUAAUAAUGCAGCCACCACAGCAAAA